RNAcentral lists this ribosomal RNA (503 nucleotides) under uncultured bacterium. RNAcentral describes it as "partial 16S ribosomal RNA". It matches the Rfam family "Bacterial small subunit ribosomal RNA", at positions 30 to 523 of the family's 1533-position model. The record is from RNAcentral.
AUUGAACGCUGGCGGCAGGCUUAACACAUGCAAGUCGAGCGGGGUGAUGGUGCUUGCACUAUCACUUAGCGGCGGACGGGUGAGUAAUGCUUAGGAAUCUGCCUAUUAGUGGGGGAUAACAUCUCGAAAGGGAUGCUAAUACCGCAUACGCCCUACGGGAGAAAGCAGGGGAUCACUUGUGACCUUGCGCUAAUAGAUGAGCCUAAGUCGGAUUAGCUAGUUGGUGGGGUAAAGGCCUACCAAGGCGACGAUCUGUAGCGGGUCUGAGAGGAUGAUCCGCCACACUGGGACUGAGACACGGCCCAGACUCCUACGGGAGGCAGCAGUGGGGAAUAUUGGACAAUGGGGGGAACCCUGAUCCAGCCAUGCCGCGUGUGUGAAGAAGGCCUUAUGGUUGUAAAGCACUUUAAGCGAGGAGGAGGCUCUUUUGGUUAAUACCCAAGAUGAGUGGACGUUACUCGCAGAAUAAGCACCGGCUAACUCUGUGCCAGCCGCCGCGGUAA